UUUCCGUAGGUGAACCUGCGGAAGGAUCAUUAAAGAAUCGCCCCGUUUUUUAUAAAUGGGUUCUAUUCCCAAACCGUGUAUACAUACCUUUGUUGCUUUGGCAGGCCGCCUCCGGGCGUCGGCUCCGGCUGAUAGUGCCUGCCAGAGGACCCAAACUCUGUGUUUAGUGAUGUCUGAGUACUGUAUAAUAGUUAAAACUUUCAACAACGGAUCUCUUGGUUCUG
Molecule: unclassified non-coding RNA, 224 nt
Filed under: plant metagenome
Description: partial contains small subunit ribosomal RNA, internal transcribed spacer 1, and 5.8S ribosomal RNA
Source: RNAcentral